CAGCCACGCACAGGCGACCCGUCAGCCCCAGCGUGCAGGCAGAGGGAGCAGGCGGGACUGCAGCUGGCUCAGGCCUGGGGUGUCCCUGUCUGUCCCCUCCCUGCACCUGGGCUGUGGACCGAGUCAGUGCACCGUGGGGCUGCAUGCCUGGAUGCUGUCGCUGAACCUUUCUCCUCCGCAGCUGGGCAUGAACUUGGAGGCUCUGAGGCUCCCAGGGUCCCAGCAGCAUGGAGUAGGAAGCUCACACACCAUGGGAUGGUUAGUUCUCCAGCCACAAGAGGGAAGAAAUCUGGGCACCUGAGAAGCAACCGGCAAUCAAUAAACCUAGUGCACAGUUUUCAAGGCCAGAUUACAG
RNAcentral lists this long non-coding RNA (355 nucleotides) under Heterocephalus glaber (naked mole-rat). Its description in RNAcentral is "lncRNA (ENSHGLG00000040764.1)". The record is from RNAcentral. Lineage: Eukaryota; Metazoa; Chordata; Mammalia; Rodentia; Bathyergidae.